Long non-coding RNA from Melospiza georgiana, 1623 nucleotides. RefSeq lists it as uncharacterized. NCBI's taxonomy places the organism in Eukaryota, Metazoa, Chordata, Aves, Passeriformes, Passerellidae. The record is from RefSeq and is a predicted model, not a curated record. The transcript is spliced from 4 exons.
AUUUUAUUGCUCUUGUGUCUCAUUGUUUCUCAACUAAACGCUGUCCCGAUAGAAUAGAAUCCUUUAGCUGCUAGAAUGCAUUAAUAUUCUGUGUUGGAAAGAGCCUACAAGGAUCAUUAGAGCUGGUUCUUAAGUGAAAGGUCCAUAUGAGCAUCAAACCCAUAACCUUGGUAUUUGCUAACACCACUCUCAAUCGCAAGUUGUUUGUUUUCAUCCUUUAUGAAGUCCUUGUGGAAUGACUUUCCAAUGAUUUUGAGAAAUGACGACAUAAGAGACAGUCACAACACAGCUUUGACCCAACUGGCCAAGGAAUCAAAACAACUUUCACCGCUGUCCAAUAACCAAAUCACUUCCGGUAAACAAUCUCCAUAACACGUUCCACAUGUACAAAACAACAGGCGCAGUGAAUAAAGGUCUAACAGCUUCCAAGAGAAUCUAGGCUAUCUACCUACAGAGGAAAGCCAGAAGGAGUCCCAGCUUGUAUCAUGCAUUAUAGGUGCCCUUCCUUCAUGUUCCCAUGCUUCUUUUAUUUUAACUGAAUUGAUCCAAAUCUGUGAUACCUUCAUGUUUUGAGCCUGUUGACCAUUGCAGCCUCUUCCUCUUUCACAGAGACACUGUAAACUUCCUAGAGGCACUCUGCCCCUCAGCUGAAGUUAAAUCAUGUUGCUACCAAGCACUGUCUUCUGCAGCGCUUUGUGAAAAUCUUCUGCUCUCUUCCUCAGAAAUAACAGCUCUGUCCUGAACAAGAGAUUAACAAAAGGACAAAAAUGCUCCAGUAGAGGGAGCACCGUGAGUGCCAUAUGUUGAUUGUUCUUAAUGACAAUAGCUCAUUUCUUUUCCAGGCUGCUCUGGUCUACCCAGAGACUCACCUGUACAGAUGUGCUACUCCUAGUAAAAGCUUUCUGCUUUUUAUAGGACACAUACUUCAUGCACCUGUGGUAGUCCUGUCCCUUCCUGGAAGCCCUGAAUAUUCUCUAUAAGGAUGAGUGGCUUAUGGCUGUUUCCUGAUGCUGAAAGCCUGUAUGAUGUCUGCUGUUGAAAAGGGUUGGAGGUUAGGGCUUCAAAAUAAACAGCACUUCUUCCCACUUUGAUUACUUCUUAAAACUCUAAUGUAUCCGUUUCAGAGAUUUACAUUCAUGACUGUCAUUAAAUGCCAGAAAUUUCCUGAUUAAUUGCCACAUUUAAGUAUUCUCUGGGUUUGCAUUACUCCUUGCCAUUUAAAGUUAUAUGUUUUCCUGUUUCUGAAACUUUGAUGUUUUGAUUGCUUGUAUUUUUUCUUGCAAAAGUAUCAAGAAUCCAAUAUGUUUUGUCAGUGGUGAGGUAUAGUAUUCAUGGCUUUAACACAUUCCCAAAAGAUGAUUUUCAUGAGAUGGGAAACAAAGGGAAAAGAAAAAAGCAAACUAAAAAUAUAUUCUCUGACAUUUUUCUUGUUUUGUCAAAAAAGAGCUUGUUUUAAGAACAAAAAAAAAAAAAAAAACAAUGCAACAGUCCUAACAGUUACAGAAAUCUAUUUAUUUCCUCUAUGAAACUGUGGAAUGGUAACACAAUUUUCUGCUUAGAACUCUUUGGAUUAUUUACGGAGAGUUAAUUAAAUCUUAGACACUUAGAUUCCUAGUAUUAUGC